This 399-nucleotide ribosomal RNA is filed under the name uncultured Glomeromycotina. Its description in RNAcentral is "SSU rRNA". It matches the Rfam family "Eukaryotic small subunit ribosomal RNA", at positions 569 to 970 of the family's 1831-position model. The record is from RNAcentral. Lineage: Eukaryota; Fungi; Glomeromycota.
AGCAGCCGCGGUAAUUCCAGCUCCAAUAGCGUAUAUUAAAGUUGUUGCAGUUAAAAAGCUCGUAGUUGAACUUCAGGCCUGGCUGGACGGUCCGCCUUCCGGGCGAGUACUGUCUGUGGUCGGGUCCUACCUUCUGGCGAAGCGUCAUGGCCUUAACCGGCCGUGGCGGGGAACCAGGACUUUUACUGUGAAAAAAUUAGAGUGUUCAAAGCAGGCAAUUUCGCUUGGAUACAUUAGCAUGGAAUAAUGGAAUAGGACAAUGGUUCUAUUUGUUGGUUUCUAGGACUGUUGUAAUGAUUAAUAGGGAUAGUUGGGGGCAUUAGUAUUCAAUUGUCAGAGGUGAAAUUCUUGGAUUUAUUGAAGACUAACUACUGCGAAAGCAUUUGCCAAGGAUGUUUU